GCACAAGCCCCUUUCUUUGCCCUUCACCUUUCAGGGCUGGCUGGCAAGGCAAGUUAACCUUGGUUAGAGUUCUAUUGAUUCUUUCGGCAUAGAAGGAAUCCUGGUAAGUUCAUCUGAAAAACGAAUUCCAUGCUCUAUUAUAUUUUAUUUUUUAGCAAAUUAUAAAAUAUAUCAGUAGUAUUGUUUUCUUACUUAUUAUUCACAAUUUAUGAAAUUAAAAUUUUGUACUCUGAAUGCGUCCAAUAUUUUUUGGAUUUUUCGAUGGUCAAAGGAGUGAAUGGACAUUCCUUUGUAUCCCAACUGUUGCAAACUUUCUCCAUGCUUUAGAACAGCUCUGCAUGUUCUCUCUGAAAAGAAAAUUUCAGCACAGUAAUAUCAAAAUAAGUUUAUGCAUAACACCUCUACAUUACUACUUACCCAUCUUGUGAUAUGCCAUUCCUCUCCCAGGAGCCAUUUCAGUUGAGAAUACAUAAUAAAGAGAAGAAUAUUCAAUGUUCCAGGAGCAAAUGCUCCUCCACAUACACAGGAUCUACGUUCUUUACUUUAAAGAAUACAUACAAGUUUGUAAGCAUGACGUGUACUAUUUUUUAGUGCAUCAUCAGGAGUAUGUUAUAAUUCAUUUUUGGUAUUGAGUUCAGCAUAUCCUUAGAUGUUCUUCUCAAAUUACACACAAGGCAGAUUUAUCCUUGCACUGAAAUUGCAACUUCAUAAAUUCCAUCAUCAUGAUUAGCAUGCGAUCAACAUUCUUGUGUACUUUCUUCAAAUUAAUCCUAACAACUCAAGUUCAAAGAUCGUACGCAUAAAUUCUGUUACAUACGCAUCAGUCAAUAUAUGCAGGAUUUUUUCUAGAACAUGAAACAAGUAAUAAAAGAGAAAUAUAUAUGACAGAGAAAAUCAAAUAAAACCCAGUCUUGCAUGAUCCCAAAUGAGUACAGGCUCCUGCAACUUAUUAACUAAUAUGUCUUCCACACAAGUUAUUGGAUAUGUUGAUGAUUCAUCAGAACAUAAUAUUGUGUGUCAUACAACUUCACGGAGUACAGUCAACAAUGAGGGAUAUCACUUGAUCAAAGAUGGUUGAGCCAUAGAUCAAGAUACUUGGGAGCAAGGAGGAAAUGUGCUUAAAAUAAUACCCUUUCAAAUAUGACAACAAACACGGAAUCAGUGGACACAUCACAUGGCAACAAGAGCAGGAAGUCUACCUGGCAAUCAAUGCUGUCUUAUAGCCGAUCACUGAAGUAAACUUAGAGUUGCCUGUUGUGGAGAAUGAACCAAAUGGAGGUUUGGAUGGGUUCUAAGCCUUUUCACCAUGCCAACAACGUUCUUCAUUGCUUCCAUCUCCCUCUCUAGAUGAACAUUGUCCUCUUUCAGCAUAAUUUCCUUGUUGUGGAGGGCCUUUAUAAAAUCCAACAUCAGUUCUGUCUUUUUGGCUCUGAUUUGUGUCAAUGCGGCAGCAAAUUGAUUCUCCAAUUUGAUAAGAUCAGUCACACUAAGCUGCUCACAAUUUGGCCCUUCAAGCUGCGUUUCAACUAUUUGCAGUAGCUCUGUAUAUGACUUAGAGCUUGAAUAAUCCACUUGAUAGCUCUUUGUAUCAUUUGCACCUUUGACAGAAGCAGCUUCCACUUCAAGAUGCCUCUGGUAUUCUUUUAAAAAAUUGGCCAUACUGCCAGAGCUACAGAAUUCAUAUAGCUUGCCGCUGUUGGAGAAGACGAUUACACCGAUUUGAACAUCGCAGAGAACGGUGAGUUCGCGAGCCUUCUUGAUUAAUCCGUUUCGUCUCUUGGAGAAAGUCACUUGACGGCUGCUUUUGUCUUCGAUUCGCUUCAUCUCCACCUUCUUCCGCCCCAUGCUCGAUCAAAAUUCCUGCCCAAUUUGCAAGAGGAAAAGCAGAAGAGAAGUGUGAAGAAAAAAGUGAAAUGGGAUAGAUACCUGUUGGGACUGCAUUUAAAAAUGUAGUGGACUAUGGAAGGUCGG
Molecule: unclassified non-coding RNA, 1971 nt
Filed under: Hevea brasiliensis (rubber tree)
Lineage: Eukaryota; Viridiplantae; Streptophyta; Magnoliopsida; Malpighiales; Euphorbiaceae
Source: RNAcentral